GAUGAACGCUGGCGGCGUGCCUAAUACAUGCCAGUCGAGCGAACGGACGAGAAGCUUGCUUCUCUGAUGUUAGCGGCGGACGGGUGAGUAACACGUGGAUAACCUACCUAUAAGACCGGGAUAACUUCGGGAAACCGGAGCUAAUACCGGAUAAUAUUUUGAACCGCAUGGUUCAAAAGUGAAAGACGGUCUUGCUGUCACUUAUAGAUGGAUCCGCGCUGCAUUAGCUAGUUGGUAAGGUAACGGCUUACCAAGGCAACGAUGCAUAGCCGACCUGAGAGGGUGAUCGGCCACACUGGAACUGAGACACGGUCCAGACUCCUACGGGAGGCAGCAGUAGGGAAUCUUCCGCAAUGGGCGAAAGCCUGACGGAGCAACGCCGCGUGAGUGAUGAAGGUCUUCGGAUCGUAAAACUCUGUUAUUAGGGAAGAACAUAUGUGUAAGUAACUGUGCACAUCUUGACGAUACCUAAUCAGAAAGCCACGGCUAACUACGUG
RNAcentral lists this ribosomal RNA (497 nucleotides) under uncultured bacterium. RNAcentral's name for it is "partial 16S ribosomal RNA". It matches the Rfam family "Bacterial small subunit ribosomal RNA", at positions 28 to 507 of the family's 1533-position model. The record is from RNAcentral.